UACGUAGGGGGCAAGCGUUGUCCGGAUUCAUUGGGCGUAAAGAGCGUGUAGGCGGCCAGAUAGGUCGGUUGUGAAAACUGGAGGCUCAACCUUCAGAGGUCGACCGAAACCAUCUGGCUAGAGUCCGGGAGAGGAGAGUGGAAUUCCUGGUGUAGCGGUGAAAUGCGCAGAUAUCAGGAAGAACACCGGUGGCGAAAGCGUUCUGCUGGGCUGCGACUGACGCUGAGGGACGAAAGCUAGGGGAGCGAAUGGG
Molecule: ribosomal RNA, 253 nt
Filed under: uncultured bacterium
Lineage: Bacteria
Description: partial 16S ribosomal RNA
Rfam family: Bacterial small subunit ribosomal RNA
Source: RNAcentral